This is a non-coding RNA of Salmo salar (Atlantic salmon), 5969 nucleotides long. The record is from RefSeq and is a predicted model, not a curated record. Lineage: Eukaryota; Metazoa; Chordata; Actinopteri; Salmoniformes; Salmonidae.
CCAGCCCCAACCCCAUCCCAUCCCUGGUCUAACCCCCCCUUGCCUGGCUCUCUGAGGGCUGUCUGUUUGUUAGUACGGGACGGGCGGCCUCACACACUGCCUCCAUCUCCAGGACCCGGUCCAGAGAAACCUCUGGAGAGAAACCUCUUGAAGAGAAACCUCUGGAGAGAAAACUCUGGAGGGAAACCUCUGGAGAGAAACCUCUGGAGAGAAACCUCUGAAGAGAAACCUCUGGAGAGAAACCUCUGGAGAGAAACCUCUGAAGAGAAACCUCUGGAGGGAAACCUCUGAAGAGAAACCUCUGAAGAGAAACCUCUGGAGAGAAACCUCUGGAGAGAAACCUCUGGAGAGAAACCUCUGGAGAGAAACCUCUGGAGAGAAACCUCUGGAGGGAAACCUCUGAAGAGAAACCUCUGGAGGGAAACCUCUGAAGAGAAACCUCUGGAGAGAAACCUCUGGAGAGAAACCUCUGGAGGGAAACCUCUGGAGGGAAACCUCUGAAGAGAAACCUCUGGAGAGAAACCUCUGGAGAGAAACCUCUGGAGAGAAACCUCUGAAGACAAACCUCUGAAGAGAAACCUCUGGAGAGAAACCUCUGGAGAGAAACCUCUGGAGAGAAACCUCUGGAGAGAAACCUCUGGAGGGAAACCUCUGAAGAGAAACCUCUGAAGACAAACCUCUGGAGAGAAACCUCGGAGGCCUGCAGGGCUGCUCUUUCUACAGUAGCUAUAGUAGUAUUUUUAUAGACCUUUUUAACUAAUAUGUGUUCUCUGGGUUUGUCUUCGAUCUUAUUUGUCUUCUAUUUUUGUCUCAUGUUUUUUAUCUAUUUUUUUUACAUUUGUACUUUAGUUGAAAGGGAGUUUUGCAAUUCAUGCAGCAUUAACCCGUGUGGCGUUUUUGUGAUGUCAUACCUCUGUUAGACCGACACCCUCACCGGGUCACUGUGGUGACACAGCAAUGGGACAUGAGCCUCAGAACGCCACCUCUGUGACCCCCCUAACGUCACCUCUGUGACCCUCCCUAACGUCACCUCUGUGACCUCCCUAACGUCACCUCUGUGACUAUGUCUGCGUCCCAAAUGGAACAUUUUCCUCUAUAAAGGCCACAACUUUUGACCAGAGCCUUAUGGGUAAAUGCCAUUUGGGACGAUUCUCUUGUAUGUGUGCUUGUGACUGAUGGAUUGACUAGCAGAGACUGAGUCUGAGUACCACUGUCAGAUAAGUAUGUGUCAGAUAGUUACUGUGUUGAAUAGUGUAAUGUUCUGGUUACAUGUGUAACAUACAGGGUAUGUAGUGUCAGGUACUUGAUCAGAUGCUUAGCUAAGAAAGUGUGUGGGAUGCUACUGCCUCCACGUUGUUGUUGUUGUUGUUGAUGUUGUUGUUUUUAACCAAGUCGAACUGUUGCCAUGAUAUGCUAUUACUUGGUUACGCACCGGAAUCUGGCGUUUCUAUUGAAUUAUGCUCUUUUUCUAGAAAGGACCAUGACUGUUACCCUAGCAACCCAUCGAUGCUAUUUAGAGGGCGUUACAUGUAAUGAAAGAUUGAACGGUGUUGAGAAUAUGUUCAAAUUGAAGCAAUACAUCCUAGUAUUGUUGUUCUAUCAGCCAUAUUACCCUGCACUGUGACACCAGCUAGCCGAGGCAGCUCUGGAGGCUGUCCCCUGACCCCUGUCUCCUCCACUCUCCUGGAGGCUGACCCCUGACCCCUGUCUCCACUCUUCUGGAGGCUUACCCCUGUCUCCUGCACUCUCUUGGAGGCUGACCCCUGUCUCCUCCACUCUCCUGGAGGCUUACCCCUGUCUCCUCCACUCUCCUGGAGGCUGACCCCUGUCUCCUCCACUCUCCUGGAGGCUGACCCCUGUCUCCUCCACUCUCCUGGAGGCUGACCCCUGUCUCCUCCACUCUCCUGGAGGCUGACCCCUGAACCCUGUCUCCUCCACUCUUCUGAAGGCUUACCCCUGUCUCCUGCACUCUCCUGGAGGCUGACCCCUGACCUCUCCACUCUCCUGGAGGCUGACCCCUGUUUCCUCCAAUCUCCUUUAGGCUGACCCCUGUCUCCUCCACUCUCCUGGAGGCUGACCCCUGACCCCUCCACUCUCCUGGAUGGCUAACUCCUGACCCCCGUCUCCUCCACUCUCCUGGAGGCUGACUCCUGACCCCUGUCUCCUCCACUCUCCUGGAGGCUGACUCCUGACCCCUGUCUCCUCCACUCUCCUGGAGGCUGACUCCUGACCCCUGUCUCCUCCACUCUCCUGGAGGCUGAGCCCUGUCUCCUCCAAUCUCCUGGAGGCUGACCCCUGUCUCCUCCACUCUCCUGGAGGCUGACCCCUGUCUCCUCCAAUCUCCUGGAGGCUGACCCCUGUCUCCUCCACUCUCCUGGAGGCUGACCCCUCUCUCCUCCACUCUCCUGGAGGCUGACCCCUGACCCCUCCACUCUCCAGGACCAAGUAAAGCUUUAAGAGACAUCUCCUUUAGUGUAGUUCUAGUGUUGCUGCAGCCAGGCUUCCAGAAUUAGCGGCACAUUCCAAAUGACCUGAACAUUCCAGAUAUGAGCCUGGCGUUGUCCUCUGUCUGCCUCAAUAUCCCAGGUGGGGUUGUCAUACUGUAGGCGACAUAUAGAGAGAGAUAUGAGGUGAGAGAGUUGAUUGAUUCCAUGCUUUUGUAGUCUGAUUGUCAGUCUGUGUUUGACAGUUAAAGAACGAUUGGCUGAGUUUCUAUCCCUUUAUAAUGAAAAGGUCUUACUACCAUCUCUAACGAGGCUCAGCAGUUUUAGCCGAAUGCUUUCCAAAACAUCACAACGUGCCUGAACUUCUCUGUCUUUUUUUUUAUUACUAAAUGGAAUGUCAAUUGUUUCAAAUACCUUUUAAUCAUCAUGAACUUUUCCAUUGAGCUAACAAGCCUUUAUAAGUCAUUGUUUCCCCCAGUCUCAGUGAGUGUAGCGCUGAUGGACACUGUGUCUGCUGUUGGUGUGUUUUCAUGCCAUUUAGCAGAGGCUUUUAUUCAAACCACGAAGUGAUGUAUGCAUUCUUUAUGUGUGGAUGGUCACGGGAGUCAAACCCACUAUCCUGUUGUUGCAAGUGUCAUGCUCUACCAACUGACCUACAGAGGACCAGUGUAUUGUUAGGGAGUUUAGUCUGUAAGGGCAAAACCAGCUGGCUGACUGACCAGGGAGGAAUAAGAUGACCUUCUGUCUAACCUCUGACCUCUCCAACCCAGCUCUCCCACAGACAGGCUGACGUGUGUGUGUGUGUGUGUGUGUGUGUGUGUGUGUGUGUGUGUGUGUGUGUGUGUGUGUGUGUGUGUGUGUGUGUGUGUGUGUGUGUGUGUGUGUGUGUGUGUUCUCCAUCAACACAUCUUCCAACAGCCCUAACCAGUAGGAAAGCUCAAUAUUCACUUUAGUUUUGACCACAACUCUGUCACGCUUGCUCAAGUCACCCCUUAGUUAGCACUGAUCUAGGAUCAGCUUACACUCCCCAUAUCCAAACCUAAACCAUUAGUGGAGGGGGACUCUAAACAGACCGUAGCUCAGUGUCUGGGAGAAACUCCACUUUUCCCUGAACAUGUUGAUACUUUAGCAGGACUAGUAGUAACUAUGACUACAUCCUUUAGUAGCAGUGAGCCAAGCAGCUCUACAGCCAGGUGAGUUAGAGAGACAUCAUGUAGCUGUCUAUGCACUUUGACCUCUGGGAUAUCCAGAGGGUAGAAUAGCCAUAUUGAGGUCUCAGUGAUGCCCGGUUCAAUACACCAGCGAGACUCUGUGUGACUGACUGUUUCUCUGUAGAGAGACUGACUGCAUGGCAGUGACUGUUUCUCUGUAGAGACUGACUGCAUGGCAGCGACUGUUUCUCUGUAGAGAGACUGACUGCAUGGCAGUGACUGUUUCUCUGUAGAGACUGACUGCAUGGCAGUGACUGUUUCUCUGUAGAGACUGACUGCAUGGCAGUGACUGUUUCUCUGUAGAGACUGACUGCAUGGCAGUGACUGUUUCUCUGUAGAGACUGACUGCAUGGCAGUGACUGUUUCUCUGUAGAGACUGACUGCAUGGCAGUGACUGUUUCUCUGUAGAGACUGACUGCAUGGCAGUGACUGUUUCUCUGUAGAGAGUGACUGCAUGGCAGUGACUGUUUCUCUGUAGAGACUGACUGCAUGGCAGUGACUGUUUCCCUGUAGAGACUGACUGCAUGGCAGUGACUGUGCCUAAUGGUGGGGCUCCACAGGGUGCUCCUUAAAAAGCUUUAAACAUGUACCUUUCAGAUGUCUGUUACUACAACAUUGUUCAGCUCCAGUUUGGCUCACUGUGAAAGGUAGCUAACUAAAUGAAUAAGGUCAACUUGAAACAUGCAUUCGCUUUUUCUCCAGUGUGUUGCACAAAGGUUUUGUAGAAAGGCUCGGACAGUGGGUUUGAGAGGUGUGAUAAUAACUGAUCUUAUGAAAGGUUGAACAUGUAUUAAGGCCUUCCUGUAUUACAAAAAAGUGAAACACCUACAAAGCGCCUUAUUUCAUCAACUUUGUAUUUUCUUUUGAAUCUCUAAACGUUGUGGCUUAUUACUUUCACCAACUACUUGAGUAUUUAACUGUUCUGAAAUAAAACAUGUUGCAUCAUGGGGAAUAUAUGGCAUUGACCUCAACAUAUUCAACUGGAAUUGUUGUUUGAUGUUUUGUUGGAAUGACAGCUAAUAGUCUGGUGUUUCUAACAGUGGACAGACACAGGUCAAGCAUAAGGAAGACAGGUUAGUCUGACUGUACAGGCAGACAUAAGAGACAGGUUAGUCUGACUGUACAGGCAGACAUAAGAGACAGGUUAGUCUAACUGUACAGGCAGACAUAAGAGACAGGUUAGUCUAACUGUACAGGCAGACAUAAGAGACAGGUUAGUCUGACUGUACAGGCAGACAUAAGAGACAGGUUAGUCUAACUGUACAGGCAGACAUAAGCGACAGGUUAGUCUAACUGUACAGGCAGACAUAAGCGACAGGUUAGUCUAACUGUACAGGCAGACAUAAGCGACAGGUUAGUCUAACUGUACAGGCAGACAUAAGAGACAGGUUAGUCUAACUGUACAGGCAGACAUAAGAGACAGGUUAGUCUAACUGUACAGGCAGACAUAAGAGACAGGUUAGUCUAACUGUACAGGCAGACAUAAGAGACAGGUUAGUCUAACUGUACAGGCAGACAUAAGAGACAGGUUAGUCUAACUGUACAGGCAGACAUAAGAGACAGGUUAGUCUAACUGUACAGGCAGACAUAAGAGACAGGUUAGUCUAACUGUACAGGCAGACAUAAGAGACAGGUUAGUCUAACUGUACAGGCAGACAUAAGAGACAGGUUAGUCUGACUGUACAGGCAGACAUAAGAGACAGGUUAGUCUGACUGUACAGGCAGACAUAAGAGACAGGUUAGUCUAACUGUACAGGCAGACAUAAGAGACAGGUUAGUCUAACUGUACAGGCAGACAUAAGAGACAUGUUAGUCUAACUGUACAGGCAGACAUAAGAGACAGGUUUGUGAGUUCAGGAUGAGUGUCUGUGGGUUUCUGGGAGAGAGGUGGAGGACAAUGCCUGCACAUUAAUACAAGUAUAAAUGUAUCAUUUUAAAUAUAAAACUAUAAAUAUUGUAUAGAAUGUCAUUCAUUUUUAUAAUCUUGACUGUACAUGUAAUGCAACCACCUUUCUUUUUGAAAGGAGUCUUUGAUGUUUUGUACAUGUAUGUAAAUGAUGUUUGCUUAGCAGUUGUUUGCAGCCUUCUCAAUGUAUGUUCGUCAAGGUUCAUUUCCGCGCUUCGAUACGUGUCCACGGUUUAUUAUACGUCAUGGAUUGAUGAAUUCAUAAUUGCCUGCAUAACUUUGUACAUGUUUGUGUCUCUCAUCACAGCAUAUUGUAUGGUCUGCGUUUUGUUUAGCAGUUGUACAGAUGUUACAUAUCACUGCGGCUACAUUACAGUAGGAGAAUAAAGCACUUGUUCUGUAACAUUA